Molecule: long non-coding RNA, 391 nt
Organism: Aphidius gifuensis
Lineage: Eukaryota; Metazoa; Arthropoda; Insecta; Hymenoptera; Braconidae
Exons: 3
Source: RefSeq, a predicted model, not a curated record
CAUAGUCUUUUGGAAAGUUAAGUCUUCAGGUUAAUAUCAGUAAAUAUGUUGAGUCUUUUACGUCAACCAUUAUUAAAAUCGGUGAAAAUUGCACAGUUUGGUGUUAAAAAUUUUUCCAAACCGAUCCCAAGAGUACUCUAUAAGUCAUAUGGAAAAUGUCGGCUUUGUCAUCAACAUAUAUCAUAUGAUAAUAAGACAAAACUUGAAAUCUUCAACAUUGCGUCGACUCAAUUUCUUGACCGCGUGCUUUGGACCACCGUCGAUUUCGUGUUCUUCCUCGUAGUAAUAAUGUGGUUGUUCGAAGAAAAACCCAACAAAAAAAAAAGUUGUUGAUAUCUGUACAUAAUUUGUUGUAUAAUCAGAUUAUUGUGUCAACUUUUUUAAAAUCUUU